RNAcentral lists this long non-coding RNA (21795 nucleotides) under Nicotiana tabacum (common tobacco). Its description in RNAcentral is "long non-coding RNA (NTAB_LNC002662)". Lineage: Eukaryota; Viridiplantae; Streptophyta; Magnoliopsida; Solanales; Solanaceae. The record is from RNAcentral.
ACCUUGUUGUUUUAACCUUUGUCACGAUCCUAAAUCCGGACCCGAUCGUGAUGGCGCAUCUCGUGAAAACAAGUCCAGCCGAGACAACACUCAAUUCAUUUUAAACGAUUCAAAUAGAACAAUUAAGUCAUUAACAUGAUUAAAUCUCAAUAGAAACAGUGAAAUAGUACAAUUUGCGGAAAAACCAACACAGCCCGAUAUCGGGGUGUCACUAGUCAUGAGCAUCUAUCAUAAGUUUACAAGUCUGGAAAGAGUUUGCACAUUCUAUUACAUAACUAGGGCAAGGGAAAUAAAAUAGGAGGGAGAGACACUGGGUUGCGAACGCUGAGCAGCUACCUAGUGGACUCCGAAUAGCCUGCUGAGCAAUCAACCCUCACUGGCGAAACCUGAAGCUCCUGAAUCUGCAUACAGGGUGCAGGGAGUAAAGUGAGUACUCCAACUCAGUGAGUAAUAACAAUAAAUGAAGACUGAGCGAUAAGAAAUCACGUGAAAACACAACAACACGCUAUAAAGAGGUAGAGUAAAACCAGUAAAGUGCAAUAAAACAGUGAAAUCUCAUAAAACACCUUAGUUCAGUAUAAGCUUCUUUAAAAUACCUUUUUAACAGUUAAACAAGUAGACAACAGGCAACUAGAAGAGAUAAACACUAAAAAUCGCCCCUCGGGCACAAUACCAACAGAAUCAGCCCAUCGGGCAACAACAUGGAACAACACCAGCCCCUCGGACUAUAUCUCAUAUCACAAUGGGUACCCGCGCUCACUGGGGGUGUACAGACUCCGGGAGGGGACCCUUACAGCCCAAUCGCAAUAUCAAGCCAUCUCGUGGCAUAAUCAAUAUGUUCUCGGCCUCAUAUCAAGCCACCUCGUGAGUACAACUCAGGCCCUCGGCUUCAUAAUCAUGAAUCAAUAUGUCAUUGUUGCAGCGUGCAGCCCGAUCCAAAAGUAUCCUCACAACACAGGCCCUCGACCUUACUCAAUCAGAAUCUCAUAAGCCACUCGGGCAACAGUAAAAUAUGAUGCUCAGACUAAAAUAUCAUUUAAAACAUCAUUUAAUGUGUUAAAACAGAGUAAACAUGGCUGAGUUAAGAAAACAGUAGAAUAAAGCAUGAUUAAGUACAAGUAUAAAGUCAAAAUAGUGAGGAAUAGUAGUAAAGAUCCCCUAAGGGUCCCAAAACAGUUAGCACGAGGCCCAAAUAUGGCAUUCAGCCCAAGACAUGAUGAUAGCAAAUAGUUUUCAAUCAAAUAUGCAGUAAAAUAGUCAAUCGGGACGGACUAAGUUACAAUUUCCAAUGGUGCAUGACCCCACACUCGUCAUCUAGCGUAUGUGUCACCUCAACAUAGCACAACGAUGUGUAAUCCGGGGUUUCAUACCCUCAGGACAACAUUUACAAUCAUUACUCACUAUGACCCGGUCUAAACUCUAGCCCGCGAUGCCUUUGCCCCUCGAAUUGGCCUCAACUUGAGUCGAAUCUAACCAAAAUAAGAAUCACGACGUUAAAAUAUGCUAAGGGAACGAAGCCCUAUGCGAAAAUAAUCAAUUUACAACAUAAAUCCCGAAUUUAACCAAAACCCGACCCCCUGGCCCACGUCUAAGAAUUCGAUAAAAUUUACAUCAAUAGAUUCCUCAUCUCCCCACGAGUUCAUACAUAUCAAAAGUCGCAAAAUCCUACCACAAAUGGCCCCUAAAAUCCCCAAGUCAAGGUAUCCAAUACCAAACCCUAGUUUUCCAAAUUUUUAACCCUUAAUUUCCAUAAUUACAAGCCUAAUCGGUGAAAUAAUUCCAUAGAAUCGAUUAUUAGGUUCAAAAAUCUUACCUCCAGACGUUAUCCUUUGAAUCCCUCUUCAAAAUCUCCCAAAAAGCUCCAAAACCGACUUGAAAUGGUGGAGAACAACUCAAAAAUCACAAAGGAAUUCUUUUAUACCUUCUGGCCUAGGAUUUUCGCACCUGCGACCUAAAUCCCGCUUCUGCGGCCUAAUCAACCGCAUUUGCGAUUUUCACUUAAAUGGCCAUUUUCGCAUCUGCAGUUAAAAACCUCGCACUUGCGCUACCGCAGGUGCGCCCACUUCACCGCUUCUGCGGUUCCUGAUGAUCUUCUUCUUGGACACAUCUGUGGCUGCCUUCCGCUUCUGCGAGCAUCGCACCGGCGGCCUCCCAACCGCAUGUGUGGUUAUAACAGCAACAAAAUGCUUCAGCUAUCCCAACUCAACUUCAAACCUUCCGCCAAUCAUCCGAAAUCACCCCGAGGCCCCCAGGACCUCAACCAAAAGCAUAAACCAAUCAUAUACCACUACCCAAACUUAUACCAAUCUUUGAAACACCUCAAACAACAUCUAAUCCAUCAAAUCACAUCGAAUUCAAGCCUAAGGUUCCAAAAUCUUCUGAAUUCUGCUUUUGAUCAAAAAGUCUACCAAACCAUGUCCGAAUGACCUGAAAUCUUGCACACACAUCCCAAAUGACACAACAGACCUACUGCAACUCCUGAAAUUCCAUUCCGAUCACUAUAUCAAAAUCUCACUUAUAAACCGGAAAACGUCGAAAUUCUAAUUUCGCCAAUUCAAGCCUAAACCUUCCACGGACCUCCAAAAUACAUUUCGAUCACGCGGUGCAAAAGUCAUAAUACAUUACACGAGGCUAGUCAUGCUCGAGAACUGGUGAGCGAAGUGCAAAAGCUCAAAACGACCGGUCGAGUCGUUAUAUUCUCCCCCACUUAAACAUAUGUUCGUCCUCGAACGUGCCUAGAGUUGUUCCGAAAGCCAUUAAAUCAUUGUGUAACCUUACCAUGCACAUGCCUGGGGGUGAUCCCACGUCACCCUAUCUCAUAUAGGUCCGAUAAUACAAUGUAACUAAAAUUUUGCAAUCCAACCUAGCCCAUAAACCCUAGAACCACAUUUCCACUUCUGAAAUCACCCACAAGAGUAGAAUCCCACAUUUAUACCCUGAAUAAGCCCGAACAAGCUAUAACAAACCAUACCUACAACCUCAUAUGCAAUUACAUGAUGUACUACAUAACUCAAACACUCGUGGCGAUAACCUCUAAUUGUAGUAGUUGCUCAAAACACCCGAAUAUUGAUAAUAAGCCUCUUAUCCAAUAAAGCCUCAUUCCAACACUCCCGUAUACUGCCAAUGAUAAAAGAAACACGUAAAAAGUCGUAACCAUUCCUCAUAUCAACCAUUAGUGAAGCCACUUCUCUCUUGACAAUGACCAUAGACAUUUCUAAGCCUAACAUCGAUAUUAUCCUUCCAACACGCUGAAACCGAAUCCGUUUGUAUUCCUCAGAGAUCCCAACGAUCUCAUCUAAUCCAACACUACUACUCUGGUGACAUGUCACAUCAAUACCAUCUAAAGCCGCAACUCGUGCAAUCCGCACACCAAUAGGCAACAAUCCAAACGUACUCAAAUCAUGAAAAUGACUCAAAUGAGUGAGAUGUAUCGUAACCUCACCAGUACCACCAUACACAAUGCUGAGAACUCGCCACACAUCUUAGCACCAGAACACACGAAUCUAACCCGAAGGGUCAUACCUCCACAUAACUUCGCUGCAAUGCGCGAUCCUAUCCGAACACUGGUUCACGUGAAACACCUCAAGUCACUAUGCUCAAAUUCGACAACCACGCACAAAUUUAUUGUCUAAAACCAAAGCAAAUCAUCAUAACCAUGGCAAAGCAAUUGACAUAACAUUACACAUCCCGAAAGGACAAAACCAAUACGCCAUCCACCGAGCAAUACCCAAUACUCUUCCCGCUCGAAUUCCACUAUGAAACCCCAAUAAGACCACACCAUAUGUGCCUAUAAUUAACAAAUCAUAACGCCUCGCAACACAGGAAAGUAACUCAUGGAUCACCUUAGAACACUAAUAGCUCAAUAAUAACCGAAUAACCACAUCCCUCGACAAUAGCAACUCGAAGUCAACAAAGCUGACUCGAUGUAGAACACACAUCCAUUCUGAUCUGCCAAUGAACCCCUUACCAAGAGUUCCUAACGCUUCUCCUUCAACUCCUUUAACUCCGCCAGUGCCAUACGAUACGGUGCCCGACACCAAAUCAAUACCGAAAUCAACAACCCUGUCCGGUGACAUACCGGCCGCAAGAAACACAUCCGAAAAAUCCCUCACCACCGGAACUGAAUCAAUGGUAGGAGUCUUUGCACUGACAUCCGUCACGAAGGCCCAAAUAAGAAGACAAUCCUUCCCAGCCAUCCGUUGGGUCUUCAAAAUGAAAUCACCCUACUGAAAACAUAAUCCGUCGAACUUCGCCACUCAAUCUGUGGCAUCCCCGGCAUAACCAACGUGCCAUCUUAGCAUAACAACCCAGAAUAACACAACAGUGAGACAACUAGUCUAUACCCAAUAUCACAUCCAAAAUCUAACAUACCAAGCAAUAAAGAUCCACUCGGGUCUCCAAACCUCCAAUAGUUACUACACAAGACCGAUAUACGCGGUCCACAACCACGACCUAACCUGUCCACGAGAACUCCCAGUCUCCAAAUCCAUACAGCAGGCGAAUCACCAUAUCUGAUCCCACAUCCACAGUCUAAAUACACAACACACCUCUAACACCCAAUUCUCUCACUAGAGGUACUCCAAAAAUUCUUCUGUGCCAACAAGUAAACUCGAAUAUCAGUCAUCGAUCCAAUAAGAGAGCGCCGCAAUACUAAUGAAGUAUCAUUAACUCAAUCACAUUGUACUUUUUUUGAAACGUAUACCCUCAUCAAGCCACAUCAAUUAGUAAUAUCAUUUCCCUAAUCAUCUGAACCGUCCAUGCCACCUAAGAAUUUGUGACCUCCCUUUCAAAACUGAAUCGUGACCUUACACAUGCAAAUCUCAACCCUACACAACAUACCGCAUAUACCAUACCAUCCUAGGAUGAAUAUGAGAACUUCAUACCCCUUCCGAGCCACAAGCAGCUACGUACUCAACUAGCCAAGAACUUUCCAUUGAUCCCAUCUAGAAGAAAAUCACUACACAUCCUCUGCUUCUCACGCUCGUAGAAAAUAUGCAUCUCUAACCGUGGCAGAAACCAUCAAGAACUCUUUGAAUUCCAUUUGCACAACACAAAACCAUCAGGACUGAAUCCUUCUAACUCAACCAAGCUACGCAGAUCACUAAAACUCAAGAGCAUUGUUGUGAAACACCUAUAGGAACUUUUUACCUUAUAAGCACCCAAAGAACUCAUCAUAUCCUUUCCCAUGCCGAUCCGACCUACUACCAAGCUAUCCCAUUUAUACAAGUUCCUCCGAAUUUACCUUCAACUUGAUACUUCUUCUCGUUAUCACAUCAAAAUCCUCGACCCAGACUCACCACAUGAGACUCGAGCAUAAUACCACACCGUCUAAGGCUCAUAAGCCGCUGACUACUUUCUCAAAUAUACCCAAAAACACCACAUUCGAAAUACUUUACUCUGAAGAGACUUCCUGCGAAUCUAAAUCCGUCACCUUCACCUUCCCCUUCCUGAUGUUGAUGUGUAGAAUCCAUAAUGAUAUAGAAAUACCACAAGUCUUGACACCCUCCAAUGCCACCUCAGUUUCUAGCCAAAUAUACAACCCGAAAAUCUCCAAUUAUUCAAUGUAAGAUCUUGAACACAUUAGAACCAUUCUUGAAAGUCAUCGACUCUGCUCAAACUGCAAUUAGACUGAUCAAAUGAACCGAACAACCUAUGCCUCAUUAGCACUCUGACACCGCAGAAUGUAACCUCACCUCAAUGCAACCAAGCAACUUUUUUUCCUAUGUACGGAGCAUCCUUUACCAAUAACAACUCAAGACAUUCUGUGAUUCUCAUACACCUAUGAAGCAUAAUAUAACCUUUGUCAAAGUUUUCCUCUACUCUAGCUAUCCUCGGUCCCAAUCCCUGCAAGCCAUAACUAAUUCACCAGUACACCUCAAACUGGAACCAACAUAGCAUAUAACUGUGCAAUCACCUAAUCAAUAGCAGACUCCCCCACUUGGAUCAAAGCCAUAGAUCCAAACAUACAAUAACUCAUAAUAUGUAUACUCUAUCAUUGCCAUAAUACCAUAGUGAAAUUAAACUCAACCCUUCAUAAGCUCGUACAACACAAACCAUCUAGUACUUUAAAUCUUCUGCAAAUCUCGCAUUCGCCCUCGCAGUAGUCAAGCCCACUCUCUUAGGCGAUCCAAAUUCAAAUUGCAGCAUAUACAUUUCACUAGUAGAGGAGAUCUUCUAUCAAUCCACAUAAGGAUCACACAACUUCAGAACACUCCGCAGGAGAUAACCCACGUGCUUCGCCUCAAACUAACAUUUCUUUAUACCUUCCACCGUCAUAAACAUUACAUAGUCGCUUAAUCUUCUUGAGUCUGAACUCACAACACAACGUGAAAUCUACUUCACUUCCUAACUAGAAAACAUGAAAAAAUUCUUCACACACCCAUAACUCGGGGCUAUACCUCAAAUCAAUAUGGAAAUCAAACACCAAAUAGUUCUUCUAUCCUCCAGCAGACCCUUCUCGUCGCUUCCAAAUCAUAUGAAUACAUCGCAGUCAUAUCAUACUCAUAACAUAGCUACCCAGUCAUCACUCCCAUUAAUAGGGACACUAUCGGACAUACAAAUCCACAAGCACAUGCUCACACAAUCAACACCUCAGUGCUCAAGAUGUAGGCAAAAACCCGGCCUCAUGUCCUCUAGACUGGCCCCAUAUCAACACACAGAGAUCACGUCUCGCCCCUCGAUCAGGGAAUCACAAGUCAUCGAUGCAUAUCUGAUACGAAGCGCUUAUGCGCGCAUACGAACACGUGGAAGGGAUUCAAAGAGUUACAUUCCAAGCUGAAUCAAGGACGCGCGAUAAGAAUUUGAGAAGGCGAAAUUUUUCCUAAAGGUUCUGCAGCCUCCCGAGGAUAAGUACAGACGUCUCUGUACCGAUCCGCGAAACUCUACUAAACCUGCUCAUGACUCGUGAGACCUACGUAACCUAGGCUCUGAUACAAAAUUGUCACAACCCUAAACCCAGACCUGGUCGUGUUGUCACUUCUCAUGAAGACAAGGCCAGUCGACACAACACCCAAUUCAUUUUAAACGAUUCAAAUAGAACAAAUAAGUCAUUAACAUGAUUAAAUCUCAAUAGAAACAGUGAAAUAGUACAAUUUGCGAAAAAAACAACACAGCCCGACAUCGGGGGUCACCAGUCAUGAGCAUCUAUUAGAAGUUUACAAGUUUGGAAAGAGUUUGCACAUUAUAUUACAUAACUAGGGCAAAGGAAAUAAAAUAGGAGGGAGAGACACUGGGCUGCAAACGCCGAGCAGCUACCUAGUGGACUCCGAAUAGCUUGCUGAGCAAUCAACCCUCACUGGCGGAACCUGAAGCUCCUAAAUAUGCGCACAGGGUACAAGGAGUAAAGUGAAUACUCCUACUCAGUGAGUAAUAACAAUAAAUGAAGACUGAGCGAUAAAAAAUCACGUGAAAACACAACAACACGCUAUAAAGAAGCAGAGUAAAACCAGUAAAGUGCAAUAAAAUAGUGAAAUCUCAUAAAACACCUUAGUGUAUAAGCUUCUUUAAAAUACCUUUUUAACAGUUAAACAAGUAGAUAACAGGCAACUAGAAGAGAUAAAGACAUAAAAACCGCCCCUCGGGCACAAUACCAACAAAAUCAACCCCUCGGGCAACAACAUGGAACAACACCAGCCCAUCGGGCUAUAUCUCAUAUCACAAUGGGUACCCGCGCUUACUAGGGGUAUACAGACUCCGGGAGGGGCCCCUUACGGCCCAAGCGUAAUAUCAAUCCAUCUCGUGGCAUAAUCAAUAUGCUCUCGGCCUCAUAUCAAGCCACCUCAUGGCGUACAACUCAGGCCCUCGGCCUCAUAAUCAUAAAUCAAUAUGUCAUUGCUGCUGCGUGUAGCCCGACCCAAAAGUAUCCUCACAACACAGGCCCUCGGACUUACUCAGUCAUAAUCUCAUAAGCCACUCGGGCAACAGUAAAACAUGAUGCUCAGCCCAAAAUAUCAUUUGAAACAUCAUUUAAUGUAUUAAAACAGAGUAAACAUGACUGAGUUAUGAAAACAGUAGAAUAAAGCAUGACUGAGUACAAAUAUAAAGUCAAAACAAUGAGGAAUAGUAGUAAAGAUCCCUAAGGGUUCCAAAACAGUUGGCACGAGGCCCAAAUAUGGCAUUCAGCCCAAGACAUGAUGAUAACAAACAAUUUUUAAUCAAAUAUUCAGUAAAACAGUCAUUCGGGACGGACUAAGUCACAAUCUCCAACAUAGCACAACGAUGUGUAAUCCGGGGUUUCAUACCUUCAAGACAACAUUUACAAUCAUUACUCAACUCGAUUCGGUCUAAACUCUAGCCCGCGAUGCCUUUGCCCCUCGAAUCGACCUCAACUCGCGUCGAAUCUAACCAAAAUCAGAAUCACGACGUCAAAAUAUGCUAAGGGAACGAAGCCCUAUGCGAAAAUAAUCAAUUUACAACAUAAAUCCCGAAUUUAACCAAAACCCGACCCCCGGGUCCAUGUCUCGGAAUUCGAAAAAUUUACAUAAACAGAUUCCUCAUCUCCCCACGAGUUCAUACAUAUUAAAAGCCCCAAAAUCCGACCACAAAUGGACUCUCAAAUCCCCAAGUCAAGGUCACCAAUACCAAGCCCUAGUUUUCCAAAUUUUUAACCUUUAAUUUCCAUAAUUGCAAGCCUAAUCCGUGAAAUACUGCCAUAAAAUCGAUUAUUAGGUUCAAAAAUCUUACCUCCAGACAUUAUCCCUUGAAUCCCUCUUCAAAAUCUCCCAAAAAGCUUCAAAACCGACUUGAAAUGGUGGAGAACAACUCAAAAAUCACGAAGGAAUUGUUUUAUACCUUCUGGCCCAGGCUUUUCGCACCUGCGACCCAAAUCCCGCUCCUGCGGUCCCGCUUCUGCGGCCUAAUCAACCGCAUCUGUGGUUUUCACUUAAAUGGCCAUUUCCGCAUCUGCGGUUAGAAACCUCGCACAUGCGCUACCGCAGGUGCACCCCACUUUACCGCUUCUGCGGUUCCUGAUGCCCUUCUUCUUGGCCGCAUCUGCGGCUGCCUUCCGCUUCUGCGAGCAUCACACAUGCGGCGUCCCAACCGCAGGUGCGGUUAUGACAGUAACAAAAUGCUUCAGCUAUCCCAACUCAACUUCAAACCUUCCGCCAACCAUCCGAAAUCACCCCGAGGCCCCCGGGACCUCAACCAAAAGCAUAAACCAGUCAUAUACCACUACCCAAACUUAUACCAAUCUUCGAAACACCUCAAACAACAUCGAAUGCAUUAAAACACUUCGAGUUCAAGUCUAAGGUUCCAAAAUCUUUCGAAUUCCGCUUUUGAUCAAAAAAUCUACUAAACCACGUCCGAAUGACUUGAAAUCUUGCAUACACAUCCCAAAUGACACAACGGACCUUCUGCAACUCCCGGAAUUCCAUUCCGACCACUAUAUCAAAAUCUCACCUAUCAACACGAAAACGUCAAAAUUCCAAUUUCGCCAAUUCAAGCCUAAACCUUCCACGGACCUCCAAAAUAAAUUCCGAUCACGCUCCAAAGUUCCAAAUCGCCUAACGGAGCAAACCAAAUCAUAAAAAUUCCAAUCCGAGGUUAUCUACGAACAAGUCAAAUCUUGGUCAAACCUUUCAAAAUUUUAAGCUUCAAAUUGAGGACUGUUCUUCCAAAUUCAUUCCGAUUAUCCUGAAAUCCAAAACCGAUGAUUUACAUAAGUUAAUAUAUCACACGGGGCUAGUCAUGCCCGAGAACUGGCGAGCGGAGUGCAAAAACUCAAAAUGAUCGAUCGGGUCGUUACAACCUUAUUAUUCAUCCACCAAUUGGCAGAAAAUACAUGUAUAGGCCUUAGUAGUUGGAAAUCGAAACAAGACUUCGAUAUUAUAGUAGACUCUCUUUUACAGAGUUUUUUUAAUUAGAACAAAAAAUCUAAUGAGAAGAACAGUGAAAAUAAACUCACAUAUGUUGAUUUAGUAUUAAUUAAUUGGCCAGUAGGUUUAGAAACAAAUAAAAAAAACAGCAAUACGAAGGGAGAGACAUAAGAAACAAUUUUAUCUUUGAGCCUCUCUUGUUAUUAUUCAAUGUAUUUUUCCCAAGUUUGAAUUAGUUGGAAUUUAUUACAAUCACAUUACACGACACAAGUGAUUGGUAAUUGGUAUAAGGUUCUAAAUCUUCAUUUUGCUUGAGGUUGUAUACAUUUUUCUUAAAUUUUAUUAUUCUUGGCUUACUCUUUUUUUAUAAUCCUGACAUUUGGAUCAAUUUGUGUGUAUCUUAAUUAAUUGGAAAAAAUUAAAAAAUAGCCAGAUUUACAAGUUGUCAUUCAAAAAUAGUCAUAGUUUCAAAAGUAAUCAAAAUUUAGCCAUUUUUCAUGUAAAGAUAAAUCUAAACGAAAACAAUGUUCAAAAUCCGGGAAAAUACUCCAGUAUAAUAUGUCACACCUCCUUUUUACUACCCCCGGAAGGGGAUAUAAGGGAGUUUUUCUCAAUUUAAGUGACAAUCGAAACAGAAUUAUUUAUAUUAAAAUCAGAGUUGCCACUUGGGAUAGUUUAUUGGUGUCCCAAGUCACCGGUUUAAAAUCUCAAAUCGAGGAAAGUUUGACUCUAAUUAUGGUCUGCGGACACAGAAAUUUAGGUAAGGAAUUCUGUUAACCCAGGAGAAGGUGUUAGGCAUUCCCGGGUUCCGUGGUUUUAACACAGUUGCUUAACUAUUAAUAUUGGCCCAAUUAUCUGAUGUAAUUACACAUUUUAAACCUAUGUGCACUUUUUAACUUUCUAACCGCUUUUAAUAUUUUUAGGAAAAUUCAAGGUUAUUUAAAACACAUCGUAAGCCACGCUACAUGAAAUGCACCCGCGGUUCACGACAGGUUUUAUUUAACAUUGUUGAAAAUUGGAGCCAGGUCACAUGAAAUGUACACCCGGAUUUUAGCAAUCACAAAUCACAACUACGUCACGAGAACCGUACCCAUAGUCACGACGAUUAUUUACACGUCGAAAGCAAAGCUGCAAAUGUUUAUGAAUACUGCUGACCUAAGCAUGCUCUUAAUGGGUUGUAACACGAAAUAUAAUAAUGAAUCAAAGUGAUUUGAGUAAACUUUAACUCUGAUAAUGACGAUUAAAGAGAAAUAUGAAACCCCUGAAGCUCAAACAUAUUAACUCUAAAUUCUACAAAAUAAUCUACGAGACUUACGAGGCAAACACAAUUAAUGUCUAUUAUAUAUAUGGCUAAACUAAUAUUUUAUACCCUAAUACCAAUUCACACCAAACUAUUGAUAAUGAAACCUUUAACAUCUUAAUUAAAGAGUAUAACAUGGAAUUUAAAGACUUCCUAUCCAUUAAGCUAACAAAAACUCAAUAUGAGCUGACAACAUACAUGAAAUAAAAUAGCAAAUACUAACAUAUCCGCAAAUCAAAACGAUAAAAGCAUUAAUCCAAACAGUUCAUAAAACAGAGAGUAACAAAUUGACAGAAGUACACUAUUAAGCCAAACGGAAUAUGAGAAAAUGAGGAACCAAACCUCAAAAUGGAUCAGAACAUUAAUUGUGAGGUAACGUUAACGCUUUGUUUGCUCCGGCAUAGCGGUGGCUGGAGAUUGAACACUACUGCCACUGAACACUGUGAAAUCUAGCUGCCUAGCCAGCUUCUUUGCCGAUAAAUCCACUGCCACCUACGGUUGCACCAUUGUAGCUGCAGCAACGGAAAUAGCCACCUCCGAUUGAACCUUGUUAGGAGGAAAUGAAAUCCCCUCUAUGACUAUUCUCCAUUCAAACACAAUAAAAUCUCACUAAACACCCCAAAAUUAAAAAAAAUAAAUCUCAUAAAUUCACUGAUUACCCAUUGCUAAUACCACGAUAAUUCCACAACAUUCAACCAAUAUAACGAGAAACUGCUCUUGAGUAUUACAUAAGCCGAACAAGACGCCUUUUCAAUUUUCAAACCUAUUUCUAAUUUGAAUUCGGAUGAUGAACCGUUACUUCUAUUACACAGAAAUUACUACUACUAACAACCAAAGACAGACAAAUACAAAUAGCAGCGAAAUCGGUAACUGUUGCUCAUUCAAACAUAAAAAACGACCAGCGAACAACCAGAUUUAAGGAAAUGAAAAUCUCUCGAGAAAUGAACGAAAAAAUCUGAUGAGGAUUGUCUUUUUGUUCAAAAUGGCGGAUUGGUUUUUUAAAGUCUAGGGAUCUAAGUUUGUUUUUUGUCACCUCCGAAUCGAAACGGUUGAUUCUGUUUUUGCCUUAUUCUUGUAUUAUGCCUGAAGAAGAUGAAGGUGUGUGUGAUUUUCAAGAUCAGAAACGACACCUUCUCUGUAGUCUUUUUAUUCGUUAGGUUCAUUUUCUUAGGUUCUUUUAUUGUGUAGCUAUAGGGUGCUGAUGGGUUAGGGUUAAAUUUGGGCCUUGACAGACUUGGGCCUUCUCUAAGACAAAAUUAUGAUUAAAUAUGGGCCAAAACUCUCUUGAAUUAGUUCAAAAUUGGCCUUCUCAAAAAUCUAGAUUUCAUUAACUAAGGGCCUAAGUUUUCCUUAUUUAAAAUAGUAUAAAGCAUUUAUAAAAAUGUAAGACUACUUCUAAUUAAUUAAAAUAAACUACUAAAGAUAAACCUAAAAAUGAAACUUUUUUUUGGUAUUUUUUCAAGAUUAAAAAUGACUACAAAACAUUAAUGAAACUAUUUUUUUUGUAAUUUUAUUUUUUGUGAUAAAAUAAAGUAAAAGAGUCAAAAUUAGUUGAAAUUACUAUAUUAGACCUAAACUAAGUAUUUACAUGCUAAAAUAUAAAAAAUCAUGGGGAGCGUCAAAAAUCACAUGUCUACAGCUGCCCCUCUUUGACUGGGAACGCGAAGAGUUUUUAGACAAAGAUCGACUAGACAGGUUUUUUGACCUGACCCUUAUUUAGGGAGACCAAAAACUAGGAGAAUGUGACCGAGCCCUGGUAUCUGAGCUGCCUACUUGGUUAUAAAGGAAUCAGGCCACGUGUAGUUCAGAAGUAGGAAGAGUGAUGGAGUACCGAGGUAGAGAGCCGAUUGAGGUGUCGUCAAGGUUCCGGUCCGUGCUCCUGUUAUUACAUCAAAAAAUCAAAAUGAAAAAGACUAACUAAACCUGUCAACUACGAGUUACAAGAUUCCUAUCUAUAAGUCUUCUGAAGCUUGAUCUUGAGUCUUGAAUAGUUCUUCAUGCAGACUUUAGAUUUGAACCUUGACGCUUGUUAGCUGCAGGUGCUAGCUCGUUCUUCUUCAGCUUUUCGGAUCAAGACCGGACAUGUAGUGCUUGUACGUUAGCCAUAUCUUGAGCAGCUCACAUCUUUCAUCUAUUUCUGCAUUUGGAUUCACUUCUAGCUUUUUUUAUUUUGGAUUGUGACUAACUUCUGUUGAUCAUCUCGGAUUGUUGACUCGCAUUAUUGCCGCGAGCUUCUGCUACUUCUAACUUGAAUUGAAUUCUGAAAUGACUUCUCUUGUUCUCCAGGUGGGCACCUGAUUGCCUAUACUUGAACUGUAUUCCCUUGCUCACCAGGUGGGCGCCUGAUUGCCAAAACUUGAACUAUAUUCCCUUGUUCUCCAGGUGGGCGCCUGAUUGCCAAAACUUGAACUGUAUUCCCUUGUUCUCCAGGUAGGCGCCUGAUUGCCAAAAUUUGAACAGUAUUCUCUUGUUCUCCAGGUGGGCACCAGAUUGCCAAAACUUGAACUGUAUUCCCUUGUUCUCCAGGUGGGCGCCUGAUUAAAAAAACUUGAAUUGUAUUCACUUGUUCUCCAGGUGGGCGCCUGAUAUAAACUGUAUUCCCUUGUUCUCCAAUUGGGUGCCUGAUUGCCAAAAACUGAACUGUAUUCCCUUAUUCUCCAGGUGAGCGCCUGAUUGCCAAAACUCGAACUAUAUUCCCUUGUUUUCUAGGUGGGUGCCUGAUUGCCAAAACUUGAACUGUAUUCUCUUGUUUUCCAGGUGGGCACCUGAUUGCCAAAAACUUGAAACUGUAUUCCCUUGUUCUCCAGGUGGGCGCCUGAUUUCCAAAACUUGAAUUGUAUUCCCUUGUUCUCCAGGUGGGUGCCUGAUUGCCAAAACUUGAACUGUAUUCCCUUGUUUUCUAGGUGGGCGCCUGAUUUUCAAAAACUUGAAUUGUAUUCUUUGUUCUCCCUUGUUCUCCAAGUGGACGCCUGAUUGCCAAAAUUUGAAAUGUAUUCCCUUGUUCUCCAGGUGGGCGCCUGAUGCCAAAACUUGAAAUGUAUUACCUUGUUCUCCAGGUGGGUGCCUGAUUUCCAACAUUUGAACUGUAUUCCCUUGUUUUCCAGGUGGGCGCGCCUACCAUUACAACAAAACAUACAAAACAAAGAAACUUUUCUGCCCCAGUUUGGUAUCUGGGCACAUUUGUAAGUGUUAGUCGAAUCAUGUUACCCAAAAGCUCCAAGAAUUUUAAAGCUAAAUUCCAUUAUCCAUGAGGGCCCUGAAAUUUUUAAUUAAGUCUCAUCUUAAGAGUGACAACUUUAAAGCUAAAUUAUAUUUUCUAAAGGUAGAACUUAUACUAAACCUUGUUAUCUAUAAAGGUCUUGAAAUUUAACUAGGUCCCUUAUCCAGGAGGGUCCUGAGAAAUUUUAAGAUUAAAUCCCAUUAUCCAGGAGGGCCCUGAAAAUCUUAAACUAAAUCCCAUUAUCCAGGAGGAUCUUGAAAAGCCGAGAAUGAACUUACCUGAGCCAUGCUCUCUUCCUGGAGGAUCUCUACAGAACGAACAAAAUUCCUUGCCCCUGAACCAUGCUUUUCCUCAUGGAAGGUUUCUGCAGAUCCAAUAAAUUUUCUUUCCCCUUCUCAAACCGCCUUUGUGUUGACAAAAUUUGGGCACGACACUUGAAAAAUUCAAGUUUCCAAGCUUUGAUUUUGACAUAGUCUUCGUCCCUGUUUCAAACAAAGCAAACUUGUGAGUUUAAACAUGGUGGUUGGUUUAUGGCCUUGACUUUGAGGGUGAUUGCUCCUUCACUUCCCAUGAUAUGAUAACUUUGAUUUCAACUCGAAAGACCUUUCUUGUUUAUUGACUAACCACUUUCUCUGUCACCCUUAUUACAGAAAAUAUCUCUGAUCUGUUCAAACCCAACAUCCUCUAUCUGUUGCAUUUUGCUCAUGAAUUGACAUUUACCGAACCUUUGUAUUUCACAUGAAUCCCAAAACAUGUUGAUUUUUACCAACUCAGUGCGCUUGUUGUUCUUUCCUGACAUAUGCCACUGGCCUUGGCCUUGAAGUCUAUUGCUCAUUCACUUGCCAUGAUAACUUUGAUUUCCACUUGGAAGACCUUGCAUGUUAUUGGUUAAACACUUUCUCUGUCAACCUUAUCACAAAAAAUACCUUUGAUCCGUUCAAACCUAACACCCUUUAUCUGUUGCAUUAUUCAUGAAUUGACAUAUACCGAACCUUUGUAUUUCACAUGAAUCCCGAAGCACGUUGAUUGUUACCAACUCAGUGCGCUUGCUACUCUUUCUUUACUUAUAUCACUUAUAUAUGCUAGCCAGACCCUGCUUUGUGCAAUUGGAAAGCUGGUGGCAAAUUUUGAAAUCAUUUCUCACUUGUUCUGACCAAAUGGACUCAGGAAGAGGAAGUAAACAAGACAAAAGGAAUAGAGUAAAGGACAAUGGAAAGAGAUAAUUCCUAACAAGAAAACUACAAAGUAGAAACUUAUCAGAUGUGGAUACCAACUCUAAUGACCAUGACAUGAACCUUUGGAUUAAAUGGCCUAAUUUGUCAAGAAAGUCUGAUGUUCAACUCUUGUUAUACCCCUAAACCGUGAAACUGGGCUUCAAUNNNNNNNNNNNNNNNNNNNNNACUAAAUGAGUUACUACAACUAAAGGAACUAGGCAAAAUAAAAAGGAUAGAAGGGUUUGAGGUACAAGACAAUAUCCGGAUUACAACCCUGAAGUAACCCAGACAACAGAAAUGACAACAAAAUGAACCAUUAAGACUCCUCCCUGGCUAGCCAAGAAAGGAGCGUCUUUCCAAUUACCAAGCUCGACAUCUUAGCCACUUAGUUCUGCAUCAACAUUACUAGAACCUUCACAAGUCUCCAUCACAUUGACCUUAGCAAAUUGCUUUUGGGUCCCUUUUGCCAGCUCGUUCUUAAGAUCAACUUUUGGAACCGAGACUGAUAGUGCUAAAACCUUUGCACUAAGUGGCCUUCCAAGGAAUUCAUAAGAGUUUUCAUAUUCAUUUUCAACACAAAUCAUGCCCACCUUAUGCGUCUCAUUAUGAAUAGGCAAUGGACUUUGGCUAGUAUCCGCUGCAUCUGGAUUUUGCAGGGUAAUGUCACCUGCAUCGACAAGUUUCUGGACCGCUCUUUUCAGAUUCCAACAUUUUUCUAUGUUGUUCCCUAGGGCAUUAGAGCAAUAUGCGCACCUUUGAGAAUAAUCAAAAUUAAUUGAAAGGGGGUUCCACAUUUUUAUCCGAAUCGGCUUCAACAUGUCCAAUUGCCUCAAUCUUUGGAACAGACUGGCAUAUGAUUCUCCGAUAGGAGUGAAAGACUUUUCUCUUUGUUGUUGCCUUCUAAUUUUAAACUCCGUCCUUGGUUGGAACCUCUUUCGGGUAGGUGGUUGAUAUGCUUGAGGAGGCGGGUAAGUCAUUUGAGGAGGUGGUGCAGGUCAUUGCGGGUCUCGUGGGUGUGGAUCAUAUGGUGGUGCAUUGUGGAUAGAGUACUAGGAAGUUGAGGUAUGACUUUGGGGAUUUUGUGGAGGAAAGUAGCAUUGGUGAGGAUUAUCUGGAGUACGAGGAUAUUCACGGGGUCGGUAUUGAGGCUGAAAGCGUUUAGCAGAAAUGCCCACUGGAUCCCGUCGUUGGCGGGACUCAUCAACAUCUUUUUUAUCAAUCGAAGGGCUGACUCGAGCAACUUGUUCAUUCCAUUUGAGCCAAAACUCCCCAAAACUUCCCUCGGGUUUGUUUUCCAUAUGAGAUAGGGAGGAGCGGUAUGGGAUAAUGCAUAUAUUGUACUGAUGGUGCCGAACAAAAUCUUGAGCCAUGUCACCCCAUACAUGCCAUUUACUGACAUCUUGACGAGUAUGCCAUUCCAAAGCUGCCCCAGUUAGGCUUUCACUAAAAUACGCCAUCAGCAACUCAUCUUUCCCGCCAACACUUCUCAUUUCACUGGAAUAACCUCUCAGAUGGGCUACUGGAUCUCCACGCCCAUCAUACAAAUUAAACUUUGGCAUCUUAAACCCUUUCAGCUUUCUGGAUAUCUCAUCUUGCUCCACUAUCUUAGCAGGCUUUGCAAUCUCACCGGCAGGCUCAAAAUAAGGAGCGUAAGAGUAUGGACCCGAGACCUUGAAAAUUGGUUCGGGAGUAUAGUGUUGGGCAUCAGGAAUUUUGAAUACAGUCUCGCUCGAGGAUCGAGGAAAGGUAGCAAAUGGAUGAGCUACAAAAAUAUAAGUGGUCAAAGGAGCGGGAUAUGAGGUGGUUUUGGGGGUAGAGUGUGAAAAGGUUGUGGGGAGAUAUCAUGGACUUGUGACAGUGGCGGAAUGUUGACGAGGCUUUCAGUGUAGUUAGUGGGAACUGAUGGUGGAAGACACCCACUAAUCCAAGCUUGGUAUAUUUCGGCCAUUUGUCCUUUCACCCUUAAGACCUCUUUUUUCAACUUAGAUUAUGAUUCAACAAUUCCCUUAGACGGAUCAAUGACCCUUGUGUCCAACUCUUUGCCAGCCAUGACUACCUUGCUCUUUGACCUUGUGUUGUAUGGAUGAGUUACCUUAAGAACCACAAACCAACCACCCUUCUCAAUGAAGAUAACAAAAGGAACAAAAUGGGGACAUCCUGUUAGCAUUAGGGCAUUUAACAGCUAAAAAUAUCACACUGAGUGCAAUGCACCUAGCAACAAUUAACUGUUGUAGAAUGACUUCUAGGGUCACAAGGUCACUUGGCAUCAUCCCAAUUUUGUUCAUUUCAAUCUUCUCUUUUCUUUCUUUUCUAGCACUUCUUGGCUUGCUUAUUUUCCUUCCCUCUUUUUUUCUAAUUAUCACUCUUUUCUAUCCUCUCAUUUCUCACGUCCCAUAAUUUCACCUCUUUUUUUUUCCUUUUUUCUUUUAAUAAUUUGUUUUAUUUCCUUUUUUUUUUCUUUUUCUUUUAAAAAAAAUGAUUCGAUUGAAUCCUAUGUAGGUUGCCUAUGUAUCAUGACGCCGCAUGAAUAAGAUCUUUGCGUAGUUCGGGAAGAACGAGAAUAAAGUAAACAAACUAACGUUCUCUUUUUCUUGUUUAUCUUAAUGACUACUCUGAUGAGAAAAGAGAAAUAAAAGAAGCAAAUCCUUUUUUUUUUGAAUUUUCUAGACUUAAUGUUUGAUAACCUAUUCUAAACACAAGCUUAACGAGCAUAUAUUUUUUCUCUCUCUUUUUGAAACAAAUACUCUAUGGAAAAUCACUAAGGAAAAAAUCCUAGAAGAGGAAAAAAAUAUUUUUUAUUUCUUUUUUUUUUAGGAAGGAAAUCUAAAAAAUAAACCAAGGAAAAAUAUUUUGAAUUUUUGUUUGAUAUCCUGAAAAAAGAUUUUGAAACAAGAAAUGAAAAAUAUAAAAAAUAUUUUUGGAUUUUAGUUUUUGAUUACCAAAGGGAGAAACUCUGAAGAUAAACCAAAGAUAAAGUACGUUAUUUUUUCUAUGUGCAAUGUCCUAAAGUUCUAGUGAAAAUAAAAUGAAUUUUAUUUCAUUUUUCGUUAAUUUUCCAAAGAAGAACCUCAAAAUAAAAUCUUUUUGGAUUUUUGGAAUCAAUAUCUUAGAAAAAAACUUUUACAGAGUUUUUUUUAUUUUAGUCUUAAUAUACUAAGGAAAUAUAAAAAUAAUUUUUUUUAUUUUUGAGUUCUAGAUAUUAAUUUCCUAAAGGAAAACCACCUCAAAAGAUUAUUUUUUUUAAAUUUUUAGAAUUAGUAUUCUAAAGAAAAACUUCUAACGGAAAUAUAAAACGCAAAAACUCUUUUUUUUUUUGGAUUUUGAGUUAUAACACACUUUUUCAAAUAUAAAAUAGGAAAUACGAUAACGAAUGAUUCGAUAUUAUUGUACAAAAUUAGAAGGUAAAAGACAACAUAGAAAGAAAAACAGACUUAAAUAAAUAAAAAAAAUAAAGAUAAAAAAAUCUCCUUAAACAAACUUCUAAAUGAGCGAUCGUGAUUGGAUGGUCCCGGGGCGUCAGUCAUGCCCAAACUCCGGUAAGUAAAUCCACACCUGUAUGAGAAAAUUAAGACCAAAUAAAGUUAAAGACCUAGAACACUAUGUGAGACAAUAACCCUUCAUGUUGGACACAUGCAAGACAUGAUUGUGACUAUUUUUCUAAAAUUAACCUAUGUGGCUAAAAGUGGCUAAAAAUGCAAGAUUUGGCUAAGACCCCGCGAAGUCAAGAACCUAAAACUUACUAGGAAGACCAGACCCUAUGUGGGUUGCCUACGUAUCCCGCCCCGAAAGACGAGAAUCAGGUAUGCGUAGUUCGGGCGAAUUGGAUACGGGCGAGAAAUAAAAAAACAACUAAUUUAGAGAAAAUAUAUCUUUUUCUUUUCCUUGAAAAUGAUGAAACAUGUAAAAUCUUUUUGGAUUUUCUUUUUCCUCUUUUUUUUUGAUUUUUUUUUUUGAAAAAAAAUGAUGGGAAAGUGCAAAAUCUUUUUGGAUUUUUUUUCAUUUUCAAUUUUUGCUCUUUUCUUGAAAAAGCGUGAAAGAAAAUUGUAACUGGGCCCUAUUUGCUUUAUUUUUUACACUUCACCCUCUCUUUUUUCAUUUAUCCUCAACCCUCAUUGGUCCGCCAAAUGACCUCUUUUAUCCUUGAAGAUUGCAACAUGUAGUACAUAGACUGCAUCAGGAUGAUUUUUUAUUUUUUUUGGGUACACCUGUCCUAGAGGGACCCAACCCCUGUGUUGAGUCCCCAAAGUCAAAUGCACAUGAUGCAAACAAAUGUUCCUUCUAGGAAUCCGGUAUGAGGCUGAGUUAUUCUAGGUUUAAAACUUGGGUGUAUUUGUUCUAGACCUAGCUUACUCGAGCGGACAGCUCGAGCCGAGGGGGCAAGCGUACCGGGAAUGCAGAAGCUUCACCGGCUUUGCAACUUGUCCGAACCUCGUUCUAAAAUUGGAAUAUGACUUUAACAGAAGAGAAGUCACACGAAGUGCACAUUUUCCAGAUGAUUUAGAAGACUCAGAGAGAGGAGGGUUUCGUAACAAUUUAUAUACAGUCCAAACAAUAUCAAAGCGGUAAAAAGCGGCAAUUAGCACAUUAGGCUCAAACAUAUAAAAAUUAGAUAAUAAAUAAAAACCAACUAUAACAGUUAUUCUAAGCUCGAAUUCUGAACCUUGAACCAGAGGUUCUGGGUUCUUAUCCCCAGCAGAGUCGCCAGAGCUAUCACACCUCCUUUUUACUACCCCGGAAAGGGAUAUAAGGGAGUUUUUUCCAAUUUAAGUGACAAUCAAAACGGAAUUAUUUAUAUUAAAAUCAGAGUUGCCACUUGGGUUAGUUUAUUAGUGUCCCAAUUCACCGGUUUAAAAUCCCGAAUCGAGGAAAGUUUGACUCUAAUUAUGGUCUGCGAACACAGAAAUCCGGGUAAGGAAUUCUGUUAAUCCGGGAGAAGAUGUUAGGCAUUUUCGAGUUCCGUAAUUUUAGCACGGUCGCUUAACUAUUAAUAUUGGCCCAAUUAUCCUAUGUAAUUACACGUUUUAAACCUAUGUGCACUUUUUAACUUUCUAACUACUUUUAAUAUUUUUAGGAAAAUUCAAGGUUAUUUAAAACACAUCGUAAGCCACGCUACAUGAAAUGCACCUGCGGUUCACGACACGUUUAAUUUAACAUUGUUGGAAAUUGGAGCCGGGUCACAUAAAAUGUAUACCCGAAUUUUAGCAAUCACAAAUCACAACUACGUCUCGAUGAUUAUUUACACGCCAAAAGCAAAGCUGCAAAUGUUUAUGAAUACUUCUGACCUAAGCAUGCUCUUAAGCCUUAAUGAGUCUAACACGAAAUAUAAUAAUGAAUCAAAGUGAUUUGAGUAAACUUUAACUCUGACUAAUGACGAUUAAAGAGAAAUAUGAAAACCCUGAAGCUCAAAUAUAUUAACUUAACAUUAACUCUAAAUUCUACAAAAUAAUCUACGAGACUUACGAGGCAAACACAAUUAAUGUCUAUUAUAUAUAUGGCUAAACUAAUAUUUUAUACCCUAACACCAAUUGACACCAAAAUAUUGAUAAUGGAACCUUUAACAUUUAUUAAAGAGUAUAACAGGGAAUUUAAAGACUUCCUAUCCAUUAAACUAACAAAAACUCAAUAUGAGCUAACAACAUACAUGAAAAUAGAAUAGUAAAUACUAACAUAUCCUCAAAUAAAAACGAUAAAAGCAUUAAUCCAAACAGUUCAUAAAAUAGAGAGUAACAAAUUGACAGAAGUACACUGUUAAGCCAAACAGAAUAUGAGAAAAUGAGGAACCAAACCUCAAAAUGGAUCAGAACAUUAAUUAUGAGGCAACAUUAAUGCUUUGUUUGCUCCGGCAUAGCGGUUGCACCGUCGUAGCUGCAGCAGCGAAAAUAGCCACCUCCGAUUGAACUUUGUUAGGAGGAAAAGAAAUCCUCUAUGACUAUUCUCCAUUCAAACACAAUAAAAACUCCCUAAACACCCAAAAAUUACAAAAAAUCUCACAAAUUCACUGAUUACCCACUGCUAAUACCACGAUAAUUCCACAACAUUCAACCAAUAUAACGAGAAACUGCUCAUGAGUAUUACAUAAGCCGAAUAAGACGCCUUUUCAAUUUUCAAACCUAUUUCUAAUUUGAAUUCAGACGAUGAACCAUUAUUUCUAGUACACAGAAAUUACUACUACUAACAACCAAAGACAGUCAAAUACAAAUAGCAGCAAAAUCGGUAACUGCUACUCAUUCAAACAUAAAAAACGAC